ACUCCUACGGGAGGCAGCAGUGGGGAAUAUUGGACAAUGGGCGCAAGCCUGAUCCAGCCAUGCCGCGUGAGUGAUGAAGGCCCUAGGGUUGUAAAGCUCUUUCACCGGUGAAGAUAAUGACGGUAACCGGAGAAGAAGCCCCGGCUAACUUCGUGCCAGCAGCCGCGGUAAUACGAAGGGGGCUAGCGUUGUUCGGAUUUACUGGGCGUAAAGCGCACGUAGGCGGACUAUUAAGUCAGGGGUGAAAUCCCGGGGCUCAACCCCGGAACUGCCUUUGAUACUGGUAGUCUUGAGUUCGGGAGAGGUGAGUGGAAUUCCGAGUGUAGAGGUGAAAUUCGUAGAUAUUCGGAGGAACACCAGUGGCGAAGGCGGCUCACUGGCUCGAUACUGACGCUGAGGUGCGAAAGCGUGGGGAGCAAACAGGAUUAGAUACCCCUGUAGUCCCAUGAU
Molecule: ribosomal RNA, 450 nt
Filed under: uncultured organism
Description: partial 16S ribosomal RNA
Rfam family: Bacterial small subunit ribosomal RNA
Source: RNAcentral